RNAcentral lists this long non-coding RNA (1422 nucleotides) under Vigna radiata. RNAcentral describes it as "long non-coding RNA (VRAD_LNC014806)". Lineage: Eukaryota; Viridiplantae; Streptophyta; Magnoliopsida; Fabales; Fabaceae. The record is from RNAcentral.
GGGUAACAUUAGGAUUGACAAUAACCUUUUCCAACAAAGCUGCUUUUUCANCCUUCUCUUCUCUUCGAGCCUCUCUCUUUAUCUGUUUCCUUGGAGUCGUCAUUAUUUUCUCCCUGUAAAACAGCAACCGCUUUCAAUAAUAUGAUAAACUGCUCAUAACAAUUAAUUGCAACAUCAGUUUAAAAAAAUGAAUCAUAGAUAAAAGAUAGAACACAAAAUGUAUGACCUCACCUUAAACAUAAAAUCAUAUUCAAAAUAAUGCAUAGAUACAUACAUGUGUAUAAAUAACAGACAGGAAGAAUACCUAUUAUGUCACAACAUUCAAAAUUAACUCCAAUAAAAGAAACUUUGUUGGAAUUAAGUUUCAUGAAUCAUAUGAAUAUAAAACUAUAUUCAAUAUUUCAUUCAAACAUUCACAUCAAGGCAUACUAGUCCUAAUCCCUUAGCAACUAGUUCUAAAUUAAUAUAUCAAACUGUUAAUCCCUUAGUCAAUUUAACAUACAAUUUGCAUUAAGUUUGAUGCUAAAAAUGACAAAGUUAUUAACUUUAUCCCUAGAUCCCAAAUCACUUAGGUGCUUUAUCUAUGUUCAUGUUCAAAAUUACUUUUCAGUAAUAAGAGACAUUCAAAUAACAUUAUAUUUCCAUACAAUGAUAGUAAAUUCAAGAAAGAGCAUAUGAACGAACAACAGUAAAUUGAACAGGAAAGUUACAUCACAGUGAGUUCAUUAUAUCCAAUUCCAAUGAAAGAAACACUACUCCUAGUCAUCUAAACGUACACAUUUGAAGUAAUCCCUUGCAUUGAUGCCUUGAAGUAGUCUCAUGCAUUUCCAAAGAUUUCAAACAAAUACGACAUUGUGCAUUCAUCACCCAAAAGUUCACCUGUGCAUAGAAUAUGAACAACCAAAUCAAAAUUUAACAUCCUUACCAAUUAAGUGUUUGUCAUCACAUGAUAGUAGAUUCUAUCGUAGAACAUCUUCAACUUUUGCACCUCAUCUAAUUCACAUACUUCACACACCAUUGGUUAAGUCAAAAGGUCUUUUCAGGUUAAAGCUUGGCUUGGCUAGAAAAAGAAUCAUGGUUUUUCCUGAAUUCAAAGUCACCUCUUAAGAAGAAAACACAAGUACAUGCUUCAAUUCUCAAUUAAUUCCUCAAUCCCAAUGUAUAUCAUUCAUUUCAUACCAUAUUCUUUCACAAUUCAACCUUCUUUUUCAAUUCAAGCACCCUUUUGAUCAACUUUCCUUUUAUAUGAACAUCUUGUCUUCCCCCAAACUUAAAUUCAACCUUACCCUCUUUUAAAGCAAAAUACAUGUUCUCUUCUAGGGUGUAAGGUAGGAUAACAUAUAAUAGGCUCAAAGUGGAAGAAAGAAAUCAAGGUUCAAAAGGGUUCACAAAUGUAUCAUAUAUGAUGUAUCAAAGUUGGCU